This 274-nucleotide ribosomal RNA is filed under the name uncultured bacterium. RNAcentral describes it as "partial 16S ribosomal RNA". It matches the Rfam family "Bacterial small subunit ribosomal RNA", at positions 523 to 796 of the family's 1533-position model. The record is from RNAcentral.
AUACGGAGGAUGCAAGCGUUAUCCGGAUUUAUUGGGUUUAGAGGGUGCGCAGGCGGAAAAUUAAGUCAGUGGUGAAAUCCUACAGCUUAACUGUAGAACUGCCAUUGAUACUGUUGUUCUUGAGUACAUUUGAGGUAGGCGGAAUGUAUCAUGUAGCGGUGAAAUGCAUAGAUAUGAUACAGAACACCGAUAGCGAAGGCAGCUUACCAAACUGUAACUGACGCUCAGGCACGAAAGCGUGGGGAGCAAACAGGAUUAGAUACCCCAGUAGUCC